This 1950-nucleotide long non-coding RNA is filed under the name Marmota monax (woodchuck). The record is from RNAcentral. Lineage: Eukaryota; Metazoa; Chordata; Mammalia; Rodentia; Sciuridae.
CUGACAGCAGGACCCGGGUGUCACCUUCUUAUCAUUUAAUGGAAAUUUAUUGAGCAUCUGAUAUUGGCAAGGACCAUGAAGAUGCAUAAAAAUGCUCCUUCCCCUCAAGGAAGCAGGACAGCUCAUAAGAAUGGUCCCAAAGCACACACUACACUCGGGAUGGGCGGAAUUCUGUCUGAUUCCAUCUUCCCGCCAUGUUCACGAUGCAGAGAUGGUCACCCUCUCUAGACGUGAAGGCACUGAGGCACACACCGUGGAACUGAACACAUAGGAUCUUCACUUAAGAGUGGGACCGAGAUUUGCAUCCUGGUCUUGUCUCCACACACCUUACACGCACAGGAGCAUCCAGAGGGAAAGGUUAGACAGCACUGGAGACCAGAAUAGUCCUGAGCGUGGCUGCUGGUGCCGGUGCCAGUGGCCUGUGAGCCCCUGUGUGCUCUAACCCAGGGUGCUUGUUGCUUUCUGUGGUCCUAACACUGCAGCCUCUGGGUGGGACUAGGAGCACCAGAGGCACCCACCUUCUCCAACUGACAAGGGGGGCUAGCACCUGUCACUUUCCCCUUCCCAGGGAAGAAGCUGCUGUUGGCCAGUGCGUGGUGAGCAGAAUCUCCGGCUCUGUGACGUGUACAGCCCACCUGGCCUCCACAGACAGGGCUUUCCUCACCCUCCUCAAAGGUCUCAUGGCCAGUUGGCCCAAUCAUACCCUCUACUUAAAAAAAUGAACCAUGCAAUAUGGAGAAUAACUAUAAUGUGUCCUUAGUCAAGUGUCAUUAGGGCUCUGUCCCUAAUACGUGCCACUCACCAGAGAACGAGGAAGUUCCAUCACAGUCACUCAUGUGUGCUGCCCUGGUAGUCUAGGAAGAGCUUCCUGGGCCUGCUCAUCAGACUUCCCAGCAUCCCAAGGUGUCGGAUGGGUCACUGUCCUCUCCCUGUGGCUGAGCAUCUCACUUAGGUGAGGCCACGUGCUGUGGAAUAUUGGGGCACCCUGCUUAGGUAGUUAAAAUCACAGCAAGAGAUUUAUAUCCCAUUUGGGGGAUGAAGAGGCUGUUGUGCACCUCACAACACCAACCAUGCUUUGUGCUGAAAAACAGAAAUUGGGUUUUCCAUUGCCUGCCUUCCCACUGGGUCUGGAUUCUGGAACAUGGCACUACUCUGUGGAGAGCCCCUUCAGUUGGCCCAUGAAGAUGGACUCAGCGGGAGGAGGUCAGAGGAAGAGCAGCUCUUCUCUGGAGUCUCUGACAGUCCCCUCUUGAUGGUUCUCCUGAUGACCUUAGGUGCCGGCCACACAUCGGCCUCUGUGUACCUCCCAGCAGCGCGGCUGACCCCUGGGUCUCCCCUGCCCAUCGCUCACCUCCUGGGGACUGCGAACGUGUUGCACCAGCCACUUUGCCUUUGCCAUGAGGAACAUUGCUGACCCUUGGACGGGAACGUGAGUGUUUUAGUGGCAACACACCCAGAAACUGAGUCUUGUAUUCUGAUAGCUCCACAGACCUGGCCAAACAACAGUUGCUUUUUUGUGCUAAAAUGUGAUGGAAAGGGAUGGGCCAAGGAGAGGCUUCCAACCCCUGAGAGGUACCACUUGGAAAAAGAGCUCAUUCCGAGAAGAGAGAGCAUGACGUUCAGAACUGGGGUAGCUCCCUGCUGUGCACACAGUGCAGGGGUGCUGGUCAGAGUGGCGGGGCCAAGGUGUAGGAGCGUGUCUGUUAUGGGAAGCAGCCUAGCAUCCUGAGUGGCCUGGGCAGCUAUGAGCACUACUGACAGAACUUACCACCUGACAAGAGAACGACAUGAAGGUACAGACUCCCGUGUCCUCUUCUGAGGAAUGGAGCUGCUACUGCUGCCGCCAUGGGCAGCUUUAAUGACAGAGGUUCAGGGAAAUCGUGCAGAGCAAGUGGGAUGUCUGUCCACGUGGUAAUGGCCCCCUCCACAGGAGCUCUGCAGGGACCCAGG